RNAcentral lists this ribosomal RNA (465 nucleotides) under uncultured bacterium. RNAcentral describes it as "partial 16S ribosomal RNA". It matches the Rfam family "Bacterial small subunit ribosomal RNA", at positions 338 to 795 of the family's 1533-position model. The record is from RNAcentral.
CCUACGGGAGGCAGCAGUAGGGAAUCUUCCACAAUGGGCGAAAGCCUGAUGGAGCAACGCCGCGUGGGUGAAGAAGGUCUUCGGAUCGUAAAACCCUGUUGUUAGAGAAGAAAGUGCGUGAGAGUAACUGUUCACGUUUCGACGGUAUCUAACCAGAAAGCCACGGCUAACUACGGGCCAGCAGCCGCGGUAAUACGUGGGUGGCAAGCGUUAUCCGGAUUGAUUGGGCGUAAAGGGAACGCAGGCGGUCUUUUAAGUCUGAUGUGAAAGCCUUCGGCUUAACCGGAGUAGUGCAUUGGAAACUGGGAGACUUGAGUGCAGAAGAGGAGAGUGGAACUCCAUGUGUAGCGGUGAAAUGCGUAGAUAUAUGGAAGAACACCAGUGGCGAAGGCGGCUCUCUGGUCUGUAACUGACGCUGAGGUUCGAAAGCGUGGGUAGCAAACAGGAUUAGAUACCCUGGUAGUC